UUGUGAGUCAUGAUAAAGAUUUUUUGAAUAAGAUCACUACAGAUAUUCUUCACAUCGAUUCCAACCAAAAACUCACUUCUUAUCGA
RNAcentral lists this non-coding RNA (86 nucleotides) under Bigelowiella natans. The record is from RNAcentral. Lineage: Eukaryota; Cercozoa; Chlorarachniophyceae.